Molecule: ribosomal RNA, 465 nt
Filed under: uncultured bacterium
Lineage: Bacteria
Description: partial 16S ribosomal RNA
Rfam family: Bacterial small subunit ribosomal RNA
Source: RNAcentral
GACGAACGCUGGCGGCGUGCUUAACACAUGCAAGUCGAACGGAAAGGCCCUGCUUGCAGGGUACUCGAGUGGCGAACGGGUGAGUAACACGUGGGUGAUCUGCCCUGCACUUCGGGAUAAGCCUUGGAAACUGGGUCUAAUACCGGAUAGGAGCCAUUUUUAGUGUGAUGGUUGGAAAGUUUUUUCGGUGUAGGAUGAGCUCGCGGCCUAUCAGCUUGUUGGUGGGGUAAUGGCCUACCAAGGCGGCGACGGGUAGCCGGCCUGCGAGGGUGGACGGCCACAAUGGGACUGGGAUACGGCCCAGACUCCUACGGGGGGCAGCAGUGGGGAAAAUUGCACAAUGGGCGCGAGCCUGAUGCAGCGACGCCGCGUGGGGGAUGACGGCCUUCGGGUUGUAAACUCCUUUCGCUAGGGACGAAGCUUUUUGUGACGGUACCUAGAUAAGAAGCACCGGCUAACUACGUG